GACGAACGCUGGCGGCGUGCCUAAUACAUGCAAGUAGAACGCUGAAGGUGUAGCUUGCUUCUCUGGAUGAGUUGCGAACGAGUGAGUAACGCGAAGGUAACCUGACUGGUAGCGAGGGAUAACUCAUGAAAACGAUAGCUAUUACCGAAUAACAGUAGAAAUCCAAUAAUUUCUACAACAACAUUGCAAUUGCAUCAAUACCAGAAGGACCUGCGUUGUAUUAGCUAGUUGGUGAGGUAACGGCUCACCAAGGCGACGAUACAUAGCCGACCUGAGAGGGGGGUCGGCCAGCCGGGCAGUGAGACACGGCCCAGACUCCUGCGGUAGGCAGCAGUAGGGAAUCUUCCGCAAUGGAGGGGAGUGUGAUCGUGCAACGCGGCGGGAGUGCAGAAGGUGUUCGGAUCGUAGAGCGAUGUUGUUAGAGAAGAUCGAGUGUUAGUGUGGAAAGUUCGCACAGUGACGGUACCUUAUGAGAAAGGUACGGCUAACUACGUG
RNAcentral lists this ribosomal RNA (495 nucleotides) under uncultured bacterium. Its description in RNAcentral is "partial 16S ribosomal RNA". It matches the Rfam family "Bacterial small subunit ribosomal RNA", at positions 28 to 507 of the family's 1533-position model. The record is from RNAcentral.